Molecule: small RNA, 126 nt
Filed under: Marmota monax (woodchuck)
Lineage: Eukaryota; Metazoa; Chordata; Mammalia; Rodentia; Sciuridae
Source: RNAcentral
GCUGGGUGCGGUGGUGCACGCCUGUAAUCCCACUGGCCCAGGAGGCUGAGGCAGGAGUAUCGCAAGUUCAAAGCCAACUUCAGCAAAAAGGGAGGCACUAAGCAAUUCAGUGAGACCCUGUCUCUA